Molecule: transfer RNA, 74 nt
Filed under: seawater metagenome
Description: tRNA-Lys
Rfam family: tRNA
About the family: Transfer RNA (tRNA) molecules are approximately 80 nucleotides in length. Their secondary structure includes four short double-helical elements and three loops (D, anti-codon, and T loops).
Source: RNAcentral
GCCUUGUUAGCUCAGUUAGGUAGAGCAUCAGACUUUUAAUCUGAGGGUCAGGGGUUCGAUCCCCCUACAAGGCU